GCAAUGGGGAUCGAUUAGCCAUGCGAGUCCAGAGCUUUCGGAGCUCGGCGUACCGCUCAGUAACACGUGGGUAACCUAACCUAUGCAGGGGAAUAACCUCGGGAAACUGAGUAUAAUGCCCCAUAGUCCACUACGCCUGGAACGGUGAGUGGAUCAAAGCUCAGGCGGCAUAGGAUGGGCCUGCGGCGUAUCAGGUUGUAGGGGGUGUAAAGUACCCUCUAGCCAUCUACGCGUACGGGUGUUGGGAGACAUAGCCCGGAGAUGGAUUUUGAGACACGAAUCCAGACCCUACGGGGUGCAGCAGGCGCGAAAACUUGACAAUGCGAGCAAUCGUGAUCAGGGAACUCCAAGUGGCUGGGGUAAGACCCAGUCUUUUCAUAACUCUUCAAAGGUUGUAGAAUAAGGGGUGGGUAAGGACGGUGCCAGCCGCCGCGGUAAUACCGGCGCCUCAAGUGGUAGUCGCUUUUAUUGGGCCUAAAACGUCCGUAGCCGGUUUGGUACAUUCGUGGGUAAAUCAACUCGCUCAACGAGUUGAAUUCUGCGAGGACGGCCAGACUUGGGACCGGGAGAGGUGUGGGGUACUCUCAGGGUAGGGGUAAAAUCCUGUCAUCCUGAGAGGACCACCUGUUGCGAAGGCGCCACACUAGAACGGAUCCGACGGUCAGGGACGAAGCCUAGGGGCACGAACCGGAUUAGAUACCCGGGUAGUCCUAGGUGUAAACGCUGUGGACUUGAUGUUGGAGAAGCUCCGAGCUUCUUCAGUGUCGAAGCGAAAGUGAUAAGUCCACUGCCUGGGAAAGUACGGUCGCAAGGGCUGAAACUCAAAGGAAUUUGACGGAAUCCACUAGUG
This 850-nucleotide ribosomal RNA is filed under the name uncultured archaeon. Its description in RNAcentral is "bacterial SSU rRNA". It matches the Rfam family "Archaeal small subunit ribosomal RNA", at positions 29 to 884 of the family's 1478-position model. The record is from RNAcentral.